GAUGAACGCUGGCGGCGUGCCUAAUACAUGCAAGUCGAGCGAACGGACGAGAAGCUUGCUUCUCUGAUGUUAGCGGCGGACGGGUGAGUAACACGUGGAUAACCUACCUAUAAGACUGGGAUAACUUCGGGAAACCGUAGCUAAUACCGGAUAAUAUUUUGAACCGCAUGGUUCAAAAGUGAAAGACGGUCUUGCUGUCACUUAUAGAUGGAUCCGCGCUGCAUUAGCUAGUUGGUAAGGUAACGGCUUACCAAGGCAACGAUGCAUAGCCGACCUGAGAGGGUGAUCGGCCACACUGGAACUGAGACACGGUCCAGACUCCUACGGGAGGCAGCAGUAGGGAAUCUUCCGCAAUGGGCGAAAGCCUGACGGAGCAACGCCGCGUGAGUGAUGAAGGUCUUCGGAUCGUAAAACUCUGUUAUUAGGGAAGAACAUAUGUGUAAGUAACUGUGCACAUCUUGACGGUACCUAAUCAGAAAGCCACGGCUAACUACGUGCCAGCAGCCGCGGUAAUACGUAGGUGGCAAGCGUUAUCCGGAAUUAUUGGGCGUAAAGCGCGCGUAGGCGGUUUUUUAAGUCUGAUGUGAAAGCCCACGGCUCAACCGUGGAGGUCAUUGGAAACUGGAAAACUUGAGUGCAGAAGAGGAAAGUGGAAUUCCAUGUGUAGCGGUGAAAUGCGCAGAGAUAUGGAGGAACACCAGUGGCGAAGGCGACUUUCUGGUCUGUAACUGACGCUGAUGUGCGAAAGCGUGGGGAUCAAACAGGAUUAGAUACCCUGGUAGUCCACGCCGUAAACGAUGAGUGCUAAGUGUUAGGGGGUUUCCGCCCCUUAGUGCUGCAGCUAACGCAUUAAGCACUCCGCCUGGGGAGUACGACCGCAAGGUUGAAACUCAAAGGAAUUGACGGGGACCCGCACAAGCGGUGGAGCAUGUGGUUUAAUUCGAAGCAACGCGAAGAACCUUACCAAAUCUUGACAUCCUUUGACAACUCUAGAGAUAGAGCCUUCCCCUUCGGGGGACAAAGUGACAGGUGGUGCAUGGUUGUCGUCAGCUCGUGUCGUGAGAUGUUGGGUUAAGUCCCGCAACGAGCGCAACCCUUAAGCUUAGUUGCCAUCAUUAAGUUGGGCACUCUAAGUUGACUGCCGGUGACAAACCGGAGGAAGGUGGGGAUGACGUCAAAUCAUCAUGCCCCUUAUGAUUUGGGCUACACACGUGCUACAAUGGACAAUACAAAGGGCAGCGAAACCGCGAGGUCAAGCAAAUCCCAUAAAGUUGUUCUCAGUUCGGAUUGUAGUCUGCAACUCGACUACAUGAAGCUGGAAUCGCUAGUAAUCGUAGAUCAGCAUGCUACGGUGAAUACGUUCCCGGGUCU
This 1371-nucleotide ribosomal RNA is filed under the name uncultured bacterium. RNAcentral describes it as "bacterial SSU rRNA". It matches the Rfam family "Bacterial small subunit ribosomal RNA", at positions 28 to 1381 of the family's 1533-position model. The record is from RNAcentral.